This is a long non-coding RNA of Gambusia affinis (western mosquitofish), 1188 nucleotides long. RefSeq lists it as uncharacterized. The record is from RefSeq and is a predicted model, not a curated record. The transcript is spliced from 2 exons. NCBI's taxonomy places the organism in Eukaryota, Metazoa, Chordata, Actinopteri, Cyprinodontiformes, Poeciliidae.
UCUGGGAUUAGGUCAGAUGUUUAAUUUAAAUGUUUUGUUUUCCCUCUCGAUCGCAGGCAGGAACUCGUGGAGCAACUUCAAGAGACAAGAGAGGAAAAGAAAAGGAUCCGUAAGAACCUGAAAGAGUUUGAGGACCAAUUCUUCAGACAAAAUGGAAGAACUGUCCAGAAGGAGGACCGCUCCCCGCUUGCAGACGAAUACCACGAAUACAAACACGUGAAGGCCAAACUGCGACUGCUGGAAGUUCUCAUCAGCAAGAGAGACUCAACUAAGCUCAUCUGAGUUGAUAUGGAUUUAAAAAAAACUGUAUCGAGACUGGUGCUCAGUUUCCUGUGAUGCAAACAUCUCUGUCUGUUGGACUAAACUGGGAACAAAUCGCUGCUCUGGGAACACAAAGUCACGUGUUUCUUCUCCAUCAGAACUUUGAAGCAAGAACUUUCUUCAGACGAAGCAGCACACGCACAAAUAAACCUAAAUCACUGAUAAUUUAUUUCUAUCAAUUUGAAAGUUUUAAGAGAAUUUAUUUCCUAUGUUAAACUGUAGAAAUUGUUAAAGUUAAAUUCUAAUAUUAUUUAGAAGAAAUUAGUCGUGAAAUUAUUUUUGAAGGAUUUGUGAUGAAGAUGUGUAUUUAUGCGUAUUUUUCUAAGGGAGAUGUUAUUGUUUGUAUCCGUUUUCAUCUAAAUGAGUAGCUUCUGUUAUUUCAGUUUUGGCCACCAUGUUCUAUCUGAAAUAAUCUUUUAGUUUUGCUUCUUUAGAAGUUUAAUAAUCAAGCACCUGCUCACUAAUCACUACAACCCACACAGGCUCUGAUCACAUCCAAUCAAAACUGCCCAUUUUUGUGACCACUUCAAGAGUUUUGUGGGAUUUUGUGUUUAUGCUUCUUACUUUAUGCCAGAUAAGCUGAUCUGUAAGUCACUGUUUGGUGUUUUCUGGUGACAGCAGAGCAGGCCGGGCCAGAACAUGGCCGCCCGUUUGUUUCUCUGUAAAUACGGAUCACAUGGUUUGUUUACGUUUCUGUGAGCGAGUACUUUUCUCCUUUCCUUCUCCAAAAUGGAUGAUUUCCUGCGUGAAUUUUGUUUUCACUUGGUGUAAACACUGGCCAGGCUUAACAAAUCCUGAGUGUGUACAUUUUAGUACAUAAAAUUGUAUUUUGUAUAUAAUAUGAAUUAAAUCAUAUUUUUAUGGAGA